RNAcentral lists this non-coding RNA (25 nucleotides) under Cricetulus griseus (Chinese hamster). The record is from RNAcentral. Lineage: Eukaryota; Metazoa; Chordata; Mammalia; Rodentia; Cricetidae.
ACUUUGUCUCCUUAGAGGGUAGUAA